GUGACCUGCGGAGGGAUCAUUA
RNAcentral lists this ribosomal RNA (22 nucleotides) under Megaspora verrucosa. Its description in RNAcentral is "partial 18S small subunit ribosomal RNA". The record is from RNAcentral. RNAcentral also lists the same sequence under 4 other names. Lineage: Eukaryota; Fungi; Ascomycota; Lecanoromycetes; Pertusariales; Megasporaceae.